UGGAACUGUCAGUAACAUGCGUAUACUUAUUUAGAUGGCUGGUGCAAUUCUGAAAAGGGACAGAUGAUUGUUUUUCUUCCACGUUUCAUAAGUAUCACCAUUCAGGUAAAAAGGUAAAAUGUAUGAUGCUUUACACGAAGAUUUUGCUAUCCAUGAUGAAGAUAUUAGUAUACUGUAAAAUAUCUAUUUUGUGGUUAUAUUUUCGUAUCUUUUGCACUAGACAUGACACAUAACAGACCGCGAAUCAUCGUGAUGAACCAGCUAGGUGUAAUAUCUAUUUUUUUUUAUAUAAAGGUGUGAUUUAAAUAUAUUUCCUUUAUUUUCCUUCCGCCAGAUUAUCUGUUGUACCGGAAGUUCAACCCACAUCAGUUGACAGCGUUGUAUAAAAGAAACGAGCAGUAAUGGAGAUGGUAAGAAUAACGAAAGCUUUACUGUGACCUAUCAGGAGCAGGAACGAAAUCAGCAAGUAUGAAGAACACGUUUCUAUUCGGAUUAGUUUCAUUGUGCUCCUUUAUAGGAAUUGCACUUUGCUACGGAAGUGUUGCAAUGAAUAACAAAGGGUUCGGAGGUUUCGGCUACUAUCCAGCUUAUCCUACUUCCGGUAGCAGUGCUGGCAUGUUUGGAGGGUUAUCAUCUGGUGGCGGGCUGUUUGAAAUGAUUAUAAACCUCUUUUUGUUCAUAUUCCUGAUUCAACUGUUGUUCCCCCGAAACGGAAAUGGAGUGCUAGGAGUUGGAAAAUAAAUACAGAACAUCGUGGAGUAGACACUGACAGAAGCAGCAGCAACAGCAACAACACAAGAAUUAUCACAGUCCAUUAGAAGCUUACAAAAACAUUGUAAAACACAUAAAAAUGUAAAAAGAAAUAUGUGAGAGUUGAUAAAAUAACCCUGCAUAUUGAGAAAACAGGA
Molecule: long non-coding RNA, 908 nt
Organism: Mercenaria mercenaria
Lineage: Eukaryota; Metazoa; Mollusca; Bivalvia; Venerida; Veneridae
Exons: 4
Source: RefSeq, a predicted model, not a curated record